GUUUGUCCCUGCAGUGUGCGUGGUGCAUGGGGAGGCCCCGCCCUACCAGGCACGGAGGAGCCCCAGCAGCAUCUACAGGCCAAACCCAUAGUACGUCAGACGGAGCGGCGAGGGCCACCUCGCAGCCCUGCACAGCCUGCAGACCCAGGGCAUGGGCUUCUCACAACUACAGAAAACAACUCAACUCCUCUGGGAGAGUCAAAAAAAAGAGGAGGAGAAAGUAGAGAGCAGGUCUGUUCCCAGAAGUCCCCAGUCUCAGGCCGUAAGGACUCAACUCUGAGCCAUCUGGGAUCCCAGGAAAGGGAA
This 306-nucleotide long non-coding RNA is filed under the name Homo sapiens (human). RNAcentral describes it as "HSALNT0235372". Lineage: Eukaryota; Metazoa; Chordata; Mammalia; Primates; Hominidae. The record is from RNAcentral.